RNAcentral lists this ribosomal RNA (292 nucleotides) under uncultured bacterium. RNAcentral describes it as "partial 16S ribosomal RNA". The record is from RNAcentral.
GGACUACUGGGGUUUCUAAUCCUGUUUGAUCCCCACGCUUUCGUGCCUCAGCGUCAAUGUCGGUCCAGAUAGCCGCUUACGCCACUGGUGUUCCUGUCAAUAUCUACGCAUUUCACUGCUACACUGACAAUUCCGCUAUCCUCUCCCGAAUUCGAGCCAUGUAGUUUUAAGAGCAAUUCCAGGGUUGAGCCCUGGGCUUUCACUCCUAACUUUCAUAACCGCCUACGCACGCUUUACGCCCAGUGAUUCCGAACAACGCUCGCCCCCUUCGUAUUACCGCGGCUGCUGGCAC